Molecule: non-coding RNA, 358 nt
Organism: Mus musculus (house mouse)
Lineage: Eukaryota; Metazoa; Chordata; Mammalia; Rodentia; Muridae
Source: the annotation of a RefSeq genome assembly
AUGGAUUUUCAGAUGCAGAUUAUCAGCUUGCUGCUAAUCAGUGUCACAGUCAUAGUGUCUAAUGGAGAAAUUGUGCUCACCCAGUCUCCAACCACCAUGGCUGCAUCUCCCGGGGAGAAGAUCACUAUCACCUGCAGUGCCAGCUCAAGUAUAAGUUCCAAUUACUUGCAUUGGUAUCAGCAGAAGCCAGGAUUCUCCCCUAAACUCUUGAUUUAUAGGACAUCCAAUCUGGCUUCUGGAGUCCCAGCUCGCUUCAGUGGCAGUGGGUCUGGGACCUCUUACUCUCUCACAAUUGGCACCAUGGAGGCUGAAGAUGUUGCCACUUACUACUGCCAGCAGGGUAGUAGUAUACCACGCA